RNAcentral lists this ribosomal RNA (376 nucleotides) under uncultured eukaryote. RNAcentral describes it as "partial 18S ribosomal RNA". It matches the Rfam family "Eukaryotic small subunit ribosomal RNA", at positions 592 to 976 of the family's 1831-position model. The record is from RNAcentral.
CAAUAGCGUAUAUUAAAGUUGUUGCGGGUAAAAAGCUCGUAGUUGGGUUUCUGCUUGAGAAGACCGGUCUGGUCUAUGACCACGCAUCUGGCACUACUCAAGCAUCUGGAAGGUCGAGGCGUCGCUUCAUUGCGAUGUCUGUGUCCUUCCCUUUUACUUUGAGGAAAUUAGAGUGUUCACGGCAGGCUGUCGCCCUGAAUAUGUUAGCAUGGAAUAAUACCAUAGGACUUCGGUUCUAUUUUGUUGGUUCUGAGAACUGAAGUAAUGAUUAAUAGGGACGAUUGGGGGCACUCGUAUUAUCACGUCAGAGGUGGAAUUCUUGGAUUGUGUUACGACGAACUACUGCGAAAGCAUUUGCCAAGGAUGUUUNCAUUGA